GGGAACUCUCUCUUGAAGCAGAGCAGGAUCCAGCGGUGGCAGAAAAGCAGCUGCAGGCCGUCCUCUCCGAGUCGGGUCAGGUGCUGGUGGAAGCGCAGCAGCAUGAGGCGCAGCAGCUCCCGCAGCCUCCAGGCCUCCCUCUCCUGCGAGGUGGAGUCGUAGCUGUAGUAGUGCAGCAGGAAGGGCCACACCUCGCCUCGGAUGGAUGGGUCGAUGCCGCCAAAGAAGAUGGCCUGUCAAAGAAGGGGCAGUUACUCACUACUUGGUGUGUGGAAGAAUCCAGUCCAGUAUGAAUGCUCUGCGAGGCACUACAAUGUUAAUUUUUUAAGUACAUCAGUAAGUCAUCAGAACAAAAUAAGUACAUUUCAAUAACUGCAAGUGAAAAAAAAAAAAAACAACUGUUUUACACUUUGUAUUUUUUUGUAGAAAUAAUUCCAAAUAGCAUGUAGAGUAAGACUGAUGAUGGAAAGAACAAAUCUGCAGCUCAGGA
This is a long non-coding RNA of Girardinichthys multiradiatus, 490 nucleotides long. RefSeq lists it as uncharacterized. The record is from RefSeq and is a predicted model, not a curated record. The transcript is spliced from 3 exons. NCBI's taxonomy places the organism in Eukaryota, Metazoa, Chordata, Actinopteri, Cyprinodontiformes, Goodeidae.